UGCGUUUGAUACAUGUGGUGUGUUGAGUGUGGCAGAGAGAUGAAGUGUAGUUUUGCGUGUGGAGGUGAGAAUAUUGUGUAUAUAUGGAGGGGACACACACUGGGGAGGGGGGGUUUUUGGUGCAUGACAGACGCUGAGAUGCGAGAGAGUGGGGAGCGAAACACGAUAAUAUACCCCGGUAGUGCACACGCUAAAAGAUGUAAGUUAGCGGUGGGGCGGGAUUCUAUUCCGUGGGGCAGGAAACGCACACAACAUUCCGCCCGCGGGGGGAGGUCGCAAGAAUGAAACUAAAAGGAAUGAAUGGGGGCGCGCCCGCACGGUCGAGCAUGUGGUUUAUUUAAUAGCAAGCAACAGAACCUUCCCAGCUCUGUACUUUCAUCCUUUGGGCAUUCGAAAAGAUAUCCUUUACUUUGGGGGGCCCCAGAACAGGUGGUGCAUGGUUGUCGUCAGCUCGUGUCGUGAGAUGUUGGGUUAAGUCCCGCAACGAGCGCAACCCUUAACUUUAGUUGCCAGCAUUUAGUUGGGCACUCUAAAGGGACUGCCGGUGACAAACCGGGAGAAAGGGGGGGAGAAGUUAAAUUCUUCAUCCCCCUUUGACGUGGGGUACCCCACUAGUUCCAAGGGUGGUACCACGGGAAAGGAAGACAGGGAGGUGAAGGAAUUCUAAAAAACCCGUCUCAGUUCGGAUUGCAGUCUGCAACUCGCCUGCAUGAAGUUGGAAUUGCUAGUAAUCGCAGAUCAGCAUGCCGCGGUGAAUACGUUCCCGGGCCUUGUACACACCGCCCGUCACACCAUGGGAGUUGGCUUACCCCGGAAAGGUUAGUGGGGGUACCCCGCAAAGAGGCCAGC
Molecule: ribosomal RNA, 849 nt
Filed under: bacterium RB5P
Lineage: Bacteria
Description: bacterial SSU rRNA
Rfam family: Bacterial small subunit ribosomal RNA
Source: RNAcentral